RNAcentral lists this ribosomal RNA (253 nucleotides) under uncultured bacterium. Its description in RNAcentral is "partial 16S ribosomal RNA". It matches the Rfam family "Bacterial small subunit ribosomal RNA", at positions 524 to 776 of the family's 1533-position model. The record is from RNAcentral.
UACGUAGGUGGCAAGCGUUAUCCGGAUUUAUUGGGUGUAAAGGGCGUGUAGGCGGGAGCGCAAGUCAGAUGUGAAAACUCAGGGCUCAACCCUGAGCCUGCAUUUGAAACUGUGUUUCUUGAGUGCUGGAGAGGCAAUCGGAAUUCCGUGUGUAGCGAUGAAAUGCGUAGAUAUACGGAGGAACACCAGUGGCGAAGGCGGAUUGCUGGACAGUAACUGACGCUGAGGCGCGAAAGCGUGGGGAGCAAACAGG